UACGGGGGGGGCAAGCGUUGUUCGGAAUUACUGGGCGUAAAGGGCGCGUAGGCGGCAUAUUAAGUCAUCUGUGAAAUCUCCGAGCUUAACUCGGAACUGUCAGCUGAUACUGAUGUGCUAGAGUGCGGAAGGGGCAAUCGGAAUUCUUGGUGUAGCGGUGAAAUGCGUAGAUAUCAAGAGGAACACCUGAGGUGAAGACGGGUUGCUGGGCCGACACUGACGCUGAGUGCGCGAAAGCCAGGGGAGCAAACGGG
This 254-nucleotide ribosomal RNA is filed under the name uncultured bacterium. RNAcentral describes it as "partial 16S ribosomal RNA". It matches the Rfam family "Bacterial small subunit ribosomal RNA", at positions 524 to 776 of the family's 1533-position model. The record is from RNAcentral.